This 2810-nucleotide ribosomal RNA is filed under the name Escherichia coli. RNAcentral's name for it is "bacterial LSU rRNA". It matches the Rfam family "Bacterial large subunit ribosomal RNA". Lineage: Bacteria; Pseudomonadati; Pseudomonadota; Gammaproteobacteria; Enterobacterales; Enterobacteriaceae. The record is from RNAcentral.
GGGUUGUGAGGUUAAGCGACUAAGCGUACACGGUGGAUGCCCUGGCAGUCAGAGGCGAUGAAGGACGUGCUAAUCUGCGAUAAGCGUCGGUGAGGUGAUAUGAACCGUUAUAACCGGCGAUUUCCGAAUGGGGAAACCCAGUGUGUUUCGACACACUAUCAUUAACUGAAUCCAUAGGUUAAUGAGGCGAACCGGGGGAACUGAAACAUCUAAGUACCCCGAGGAAAAGAAAUCAACCGAGAUUCCCCCAGUAGCGGCGAGCGAACGGGGAGGAGCCCAGAGCCUGAAUCAGUGUGUGUGUUAGUGGAAGCGUCUGGAAAGGCGUGCGAUACAGGGUGACAGCCCCGUACACAAAAAUGCACAUAUUGUGAGCUCGAUGAGUAGGGCGGGACACGUGGUAUCCUGUCUGAAUAUGGGGGGACCAUCCUCCAAGGCUAAAUACUCCUGACUGACCGAUAGUGAACCAGUACCGUGAGGGAAAGGCGAAAAGAACCCCGGCGAGGGGAGUGAAAAAGAACCUGAAACCGUGUACGUACAAGCAGUGGGAGCCUCUUAAUGGGGUGACUGCGUACCUUUUGUAUAAUGGGUCAGCGACUUAUAUUCUGUAGCAAGGUUAACCGAAUAGGGGAGCCGAAGGGAAACCGAGUCUUAACUGGGCGUUAAGUUGCAGGGUAUAGACCCGAAACCCGGUGAUCUAGCCAUGGGCAGGUUGAAGGUUGGGUAACACUAACUGGAGGACCGAACCGACUAAUGUUGAAAAAUUAGCGGAUGACUUGUGGCUGGGGGUGAAAGGCCAAUCAAACCGGGAGAUAGCUGGUUCUCCCCGAAAGCUAUUUAGGUAGCGCCUCGUGAAUUCAUCUCCGGGGGUAGAGCACUGUUUCGGCAAGGGGGUCAUCCCGACUUACCAACCCGAUGCAAACUGCGAAUACCGGAGAAUGUUAUCACGGGAGACACACGGCGGGUGCUAACGUCCGUCGUGAAGAGGGAAACAACCCAGACCGCCAGCUAAGGUCCCAAAGUCAUGGUUAAGUGGGAAACGAUGUGGGAAGGCCCAGACAGCCAGGAUGUUGGCUUAGAAGCAGCCAUCAUUUAAAGAAAGCGUAAUAGCUCACUGGUCGAGUCGGCCUGCGCGGAAGAUGUAACGGGGCUAAACCAUGCACCGAAGCUGCGGCAGCGACACUAUGUGUUGUUGGGUAGGGGAGCGUUCUGUAAGCCUGUGAAGGUGGCCUGUGAGGGUUGCUGGAGGUAUCAGAAGUGCGAAUGCUGACAUAAGUAACGAUAAAGCGGGUGAAAAGCCCGCUCGCCGGAAGACCAAGGGUUCCUGUCCAACGUUAAUCGGGGCAGGGUGAGUCGACCCCUAAGGCGAGGCCGAAAGGCGUAGUCGAUGGGAAACAGGUUAAUAUUCCUGUACUUGGUGUUACUGCGAAGGGGGGACGGAGAAGGCUAUGUUGGCCGGGCGACGGUUGUCCCGGUUUAAGCGUGUAGGCUGGUUUUCCAGGCAAAUCCGGAAAACCAAGGCUGAGGCGUGAUGACGAGGCACUACGGUGCUGAAGCGACAAAUGCCCUGCUUCCAGGAAAAGCCUCUAAGCAUCAGGUAACAUCAAAUCGUACCCAAAACCGACACAGGUGGUCAGGUAGAGAAUACCAAGGCGCUUGAGAGAACUCGGGUGAAGGAACUAGGCAAAAUGGUGCCGUAACUUCGGGAGAAGGCACGCUGAUAUGUAGGUGAAGCGACUUGCUCGUGGAGCUGAAAUCAGUCGAAGAUACCAGCUGGCUGCAACUGUUUAUUAAAAACACAGCACUGUGCAAACACGAAAGUGGACGUAUACGGUGUGACGCCUGCCCGGUGCCGGAAGGUUAAUUGAUGGGGUUAGCGGUAACGCGAAGCUCUUGAUCGAAGCCCCGGUAAACGGCGGCCGUAACUAUAACGGUCCUAAGGUAGCGAAAUUCCUUGUCGGGUAAGUUCCGACCUGCACGAAUGGCGUAAUGAUGGCCAGGCUGUCUCCACCCGAGACUCAGUGAAAUUGAACUCGCUGUGAAGAUGCAGUGUACCCGCGGCAAGACGGAAAGACCCCGUGAACCUUUACUAUAGCUUGACACUGAACAUUGAGCCUUGAUGUGUAGGAUAGGUGGGAGGCUUUGAAGUGUGGACGCCAGUCUGCAUGGAGCCGACCUUGAAAUACCACCCUUUAAUGUUUGAUGUUCUAACGUUGGCCCGUAAUCCGGGUUGCGGACAGUGUCUGGUGGGUAGUUUGACUGGGGCGGUCUCCUCCUAAAGAGUAACGGAGGAGCACGAAGGUUGGCUAAUCCUGGUCGGACAUCAGGAGGUUAGUGCAAUGGCAUAAGCCAGCUUGACUGCGAGCGUGACGGCGCGAGCAGGUGCGAAAGCAGGUCAUAGUGAUCCGGUGGUUCUGAAUGGAAGGGCCAUCGCUCAACGGAUAAAAGGUACUCCGGGGAUAACAGGCUGAUACCGCCCAAGAGUUCAUAUCGACGGCGGUGUUUGGCACCUCGAUGUCGGCUCAUCACAUCCUGGGGCUGAAGUAGGUCCCAAGGGUAUGGCUGUUCGCCAUUUAAAGUGGUACGCGAGCUGGGUUUAGAACGUCGUGAGACAGUUCGGUCCCUAUCUGCCGUGGGCGCUGGAGAACUGAGGGGGGCUGCUCCUAGUACGAGAGGACCGGAGUGGACGCAUCACUGGUGUUCGGGUUGUCAUGCCAAUGGCACUGCCCGGUAGCUAAAUGCGGAAGAGAUAAGUGCUGAAAGCAUCUAAGCACGAAACUUGCCCCGAGAUGAGUUCUCCCUGACUCCUUGAG